GACGAACGCUGGCGGCGUGCUUAACACAUGCAAGUCGAACGGAAAGGCCCUGCUUUUGUGGGGUGCUCGAGUGGCGAACGGGUGAGUAACACGUGAGUAACCUGCCCUUGACUUUGGGAUAACUUCAGGAAACUGGGGCUAAUACCGGAUAGGAGCUCCUGCUGCAUGGUGGGGGUUGGAAAGUUUCGGCGGUUGGGGAUGGACUCGCGGCUUAUCAGCUUGUUGGUGGGGUAGUGGCUUACCAAGGCUUUGACGGGUAGCCGGCCUGAGAGGGUGACCGGCCACAUUGGGACUGCGAUACGGCCCAGACUCCUACGGGAGGCAGAAGUGGGGAAUAUUGCACAAUGGGCGGACGCCUGAUGCAGCAACGCCGCGUGCGGGAUGACGGCCUUCGGGUUGUAAACCGCUUUAGCCUGUGACGAAGCGUGAGUGACGGUAAUGGGUAAAGAAGCACCGGCUAACUACGUG
RNAcentral lists this ribosomal RNA (468 nucleotides) under uncultured bacterium. Its description in RNAcentral is "partial 16S ribosomal RNA". It matches the Rfam family "Bacterial small subunit ribosomal RNA", at positions 28 to 507 of the family's 1533-position model. The record is from RNAcentral.